Molecule: transfer RNA, 76 nt
Filed under: Kocuria rhizophila
Lineage: Bacteria; Bacillati; Actinomycetota; Actinomycetes; Micrococcales; Micrococcaceae
Description: tRNA-Met
Rfam family: tRNA
About the family: Transfer RNA (tRNA) molecules are approximately 80 nucleotides in length. Their secondary structure includes four short double-helical elements and three loops (D, anti-codon, and T loops).
Source: RNAcentral
GGUGGUGUAGCUGCAGCUGGUUAGAGCGCACGACUCAUAAUCGUGAGGUCGACGGGAUCGAGCCCGUCCACCGCUA